UAACCUCCCAUGGUGCAAAUUUGAGCAAGUAUAAGACAAUUAUGCGCUUACAUAUGAGUUAAGUUUUUUCUUACCUUUUCUUCUAUAUAUAUUUCCUUUCAUUUCAUUGUCUUCUUAACAGCUAGUUAGCAAGUGAAACAAAAUUGAUAUAUGUUAAAGACUAUUUAUUUGGACGGCUUUCUUUUUUAAUGUAAUUGAUAAUAUAUAUCUCUGAAUGAAGACCCAUUUUGUCCAUAUACAGAAAAUAAAAUCUAAAUUAGUUGAUGACAUUUUUAUAUUGAGGAUAAAUUAGUCUCAUCUGCCACUUCUCUUGUUCUUGUCUUUGCAACAAAUUUAAUACAACCGAUAUUUCGUCAAGUCAUCCCACACUUCCUUUUGUUCGUAUGGUUUGGCUUUAGUUUGGCAUCAUGUUGUGUGGUUCAUAUGGUUAAUUAUCUCGCUAUAAUUUUAUCUUCUCUGGCAGUCCACUUAUGCUGAGCAAUUGGUGUCCGGUGCCGGUGGAUAGGAUUAAACUCUACUCUUAGUAAAAAUCCUGGUCACACCACUAGUGCAGAAAGGAGAUACAACUACUGGCCAAACAGACUUUCCACUACUGACCGUGGCGAAGUGAAAUCAAUUUUGUGUUGGAACCAAUAGACCGGAGUAGAGGGGUCACACUUGAGUAGCAUCGCGGCUGGUUGGCAGGUGGCAACGCCAGAGUUUUUACCCUAUGCAAGAUUGAAGGUGACAUUUAUUGUAAACAAGUAAAGGUGUGUGAUGCUUUCAGCUACUGGACUUUCACCAUCUAGGGUGCAACCUUCGAUUGCUUCGCCUAGCAAUGUAGCACCGCCACUUGGAUUGUUCCCCCACAAUUUAGUUGGUAGCUACUAAGAGAUAUUAAUUGAGGGACUGAAGUUUAAACUCUGACUGCAUCCCAUUUCUCCACAUUAUAGUGAAUUCAUUCCUGGAUUGAUAAUCCUCCAGAUUAGGUGAUGUUGCACCGAACUGGAUUAACAAACGAUCUGUCUUAUUUAUCUUCAUGCACUUAAUUUAUUUUUAACUUGUCUAUUGUUUUCUGUACUGAUAAGACAGAUCAUAAGGCAGUCUUACAUCACAAGGUACCGACUUUAUGAAUAGUAACCGAAAAUGUGAUUAUACUCUGUUACUUUAGAUUGUCUCUUGAUCCAACAGUGUGAAAUCAUAAGAUGCUGAGCGUGAUAUAAUAAUGUAUUAGGAAAAAUCCAAAUAUUAUCUAAUAAAAGAUAAAAGAUAGGA
Long non-coding RNA from Trifolium pratense (red clover), 1254 nucleotides. RefSeq lists it as uncharacterized. Lineage: Eukaryota; Viridiplantae; Streptophyta; Magnoliopsida; Fabales; Fabaceae. The record is from RefSeq and is a predicted model, not a curated record. The transcript has 3 exons.